CCUACGGGAGGCAGCAGUGAGGAAUAUUGGUCAAUGGUAGGGAUACUGAACCAGCCAAGCCGCGUGAGGGAGGACGGCCCUGUGGGUUGUAAACCUCUUUUGUCGGAGAACAAAACCCGGGACGUGUCCCGGGCUGCGUGUAUCCGAAGAAACAGCAUCGGCUAACUCCGUGUCAGCAGCCGCGGUAAUACGGAGGCUGCGAGCGUUAGCCGGAUUUAUUGGGGUUAAAUGGUGCGUAGGCGGUCCGUUAAGUCAGCGGUAAAAUUGCGGGGCUCAACCCCGUCGAGACGUUGAAACUGGCAGACUUGAGUUGGCGAGAAGUACGCGGAAUGCGCGGUGUAGCGGUGAAAUGCAUAGAUAUCGCGCAGAACGCCGAUUGCGAAGGCAGCGUACCGGCGCCACACUGACGCUGAGGCACGAAAGCGUGGGGAUCGAACAGGAUUAGAUACCCUUGUAGUC
Molecule: ribosomal RNA, 459 nt
Filed under: uncultured bacterium
Lineage: Bacteria
Description: partial 16S ribosomal RNA
Rfam family: Bacterial small subunit ribosomal RNA
Source: RNAcentral